Molecule: microRNA precursor, 81 nt
Filed under: Ovis aries (sheep)
Lineage: Eukaryota; Metazoa; Chordata; Mammalia; Artiodactyla; Bovidae
Description: miRNA (ENSOARG00000024702.1)
Source: RNAcentral
CACUGAGUUGACUAAAAAGUUUGUUCAGGUCUUUCCAUUAAGAUGUUAUGGAAAAACCCAAAUGAACUUUUGGCCAACCCA